This 215-nucleotide ribosomal RNA is filed under the name uncultured bacterium. Its description in RNAcentral is "partial 16S ribosomal RNA". It matches the Rfam family "Bacterial small subunit ribosomal RNA", at positions 524 to 735 of the family's 1533-position model. The record is from RNAcentral.
GACGUAGGGCGCAAGCGUUUGGUCCGGAAUUAUUGGCGUAAAGAGCUCGUAGGCGGCUUGUUGCGUCGACUGUGAAAACCCGUGGCUCAACCAUGUGGUCUGCAGUCGAUACGGGCAGGCUAGAAUUCGGUAGGGGAGACUGGAAUUCCUGGUGUAGCGGUGAAAUGCGCGAUAUCAGGAGGAACACCGGUGGCGAAAGGCGGGGUCUCUGGGGC